UCACACCCGUUCCCAUUCCGAACACGGCAGUUAAGCUCUUCAGCGCCGAUGGUAGUUGGGGGUUUCCCCCUGUGAGAGUAGGACGUCGCCAAGC
This 94-nucleotide ribosomal RNA is filed under the name Peribacillus simplex. The record is from RNAcentral. RNAcentral also lists the same sequence under 3 other names. Lineage: Bacteria; Bacillati; Bacillota; Bacilli; Caryophanales; Bacillaceae.